This is an RNA transcript of Vespa velutina, 10328 nucleotides long. It is a transcript of the gene named E3 ubiquitin-protein ligase Nedd-4, with no coding region annotated. The transcript has 2 exons. The record is from RefSeq and is a predicted model, not a curated record. NCBI's taxonomy places the organism in Eukaryota, Metazoa, Arthropoda, Insecta, Hymenoptera, Vespidae.
AAACCUUCCAUCCGACCGUGCGUCGCGAGCAGACUGAUCAGCUGUCUACCACGCAUAUCCUCCGUAGCCACUUUCCCCUACUCUUGCCGAGCGAUCCAGUCGUUAUCCCCACUCCUUCUACUCCAGCACGCGCGAUCUUUCUUCUUUGUAACCGAAACCGCACGAUCAUGCACGAGUUUACGUAUCUGUUCGCCUUUCUAUCCAUCUCUCUCUUUCUCUCUCUCACCCUCUCCUUCUUUUAUGCUUUGUUGCAAAAUGUUUCGUCUCUUCCUACGACGUUCCAAAUAGUUCGCAACCUUUCUCUUUCUCUCUUUCUUUCUCCCCUUCUCACUUCAUCCCGCGAAUUUAUAAACUCUCACGUGUCAAGCAGUGUCGUUCCCGUCGAUUUCUCCCACUCCUCCUUUAGGCUUUGCACAAGAAACACAGCGAAUAGAGAGAAUGGAAAAUUUGUCAGAAGCACGUGCUGGAAAUACGCAAGUUAAUUCGUUAUUCUUUUUUCCUUCUUUCUUUUUCUGCUUUUUCUUCUUUUUCUCUUUUUAUCCUCGGUAGGCUUUAAUAUUUAUCGCUAUGAUCGGUACGCGUUCUACUUAAAGUCAAGGUAUAUAUAUCGAAUAGAAGGUUAGAAAAAUAUUAAUCUCUGAUCGUGAUUCUUCUGAAAAUUUUUUGCGAUUCUGUUCGCUUUAUUAUUAUCGUAUUAUAUACGUUUACAAAACUCCUUCUUGUAGAUCGAUCAAAAAUCUUACGACUUUGAACAAUUUUGAAAAUGCAAAAACAAAAGAAUGAACAUUAUUAUUUUACUAAUUUAACUUUUCUUCAUCUGGUGAAAAAUGCGGUCGAAUAGAUUAGGGAUUAUUAAAUGAUAACGCGUUUAACGAUGUAACAUAUUUUUUAUCAUCAAAAAGAUAAAGAAAAUCGAUUGGUUUACUCAAGGUUAUUAUAUAUCAUGUUAAAAGCGAUAACUCGUUAAUUCCAUUGAUAGAAAAACUAAGAUUACUGUGUGCAUAGUUGAAUUCAUUAACAUCCGUUUUGUGAAAUCACGAGUGUCCGACUACAAUUUUCUAUCGAAAUAAAUGUAAGCAUUAUUGAAUUUUUCUUUUAACAUUAAAUUUCAAUUCCUUCAUCGUAACUCAUAUUAAAUGUUUUAUUGAUCUUCUGUGAUUGUAUCGUGUGUGAUCUGCCUGAAAUAUUAUUCGAUCUUUUUUUUUUGUGUUCGUUAAAAACGCCGCCAUUUUUCAAACAAACAUUUCAUCAGAUUUCAAUUCAUUCAAAAUAUAUAAAUUCAAUUCUUGAAAUAUAUAAAAUUUUAAUAUAAAGUUUAUUUUCUUAAUUAUGAGAUUUCGUUAAUUUAUUUCUUUUGCUUGAAAAAUCUUAUCGUUUUAUGCGAACAGUUUGACUUUUACAUCGUCGUUUAAUGAUUUCGAUGAAACUGCAAUUUUUAACGCUUUAUGUGAGCCAUUCUGUAAGUUAAAAUUUUUAGAAUUUUAUUUCGGCGUAGUUGAAUAUUAUUAAACACAAUAAGCACGACAUGAAUAAGAUAAUAUGAAUCUUAUUACAAUAGCAUAAAGUUUGAACUCGAAUGUAUAUUAAGUUAUAUUAUUCAAAGUGAACAUAUAAAAAAAAUGACCCGUUAAACAACCCGCAUAGAAAAGAACACAAUAAUUAAUAGUAUCUAAAUAUAUGAUUCUUACAAUUGAACAUUUCCUAUUUCAUAAUCAACUACAAUUAGAAUGCCGCUUUAAACUAAAGACUCUAUCUUUAACGAAUUCAAAUUUGUCAAUAUCACUUACGAAUCAUUUUAUUUUAUUCAAAAAUGAAACUAAAAAAUUCGAUUUUUUUUUGCGUUUUUUGUAAAUGUUAUUUUAAUAGAAACAAUAGCUAUUUUAUUUUAACAUAAUACUUGCGUUCAGAUAUAUCAAAUCAAAAUUCGAAUUUGUCAAUAUCAUUUAAAAAUCAUUUUAUUUUAUAUAAAAACGAAAAUAAAUUUUUUCUUUAAAUCUCAUUUAAAUGGAAUCAUUAUAAUCUAUUCAAUUUUAACAUAAUAUUUAUGUUCAAGUGUACUAAAUAAGAAUAAUAAUGGAAAAAAAGUAAUAGUAAAAACGUUUUACUGAGAAUUGCGAAAAUAUAGGAAAUCCACUUUACGAAUACAGAUAUACUCGUAGGCACAUAUACACAUCUUUUAUCAUUCGCAAUAUAGAACAUCUUCAACGAACUAUGUCGAUAUCCGCUUUACGCAUAUUAUGAAGUAUUUGUGCUAGAUCUACCAAACUGCGAUAAAUAUGCUGAGAGAUAUCCGAUAUCUCGUGAUAUAAAAUUACACACGCGUAUGUAUCAUGUAUUCUAUGCGAUCUAAUCAAACAGAUAUAUUGUGUUCAAUAAAAUAUUUUUUUUUUUUUUUUUUUUUUUUUUUUUUUUUUUUUCCUAAUGUAAUGUAAGUAUAAUGUUAUGUACCAGUUAAUAUAAAUAUAAAAAAGAAGAAGUCGAUCGAUUAAAUUUAUGUUUACACGACUUAUUUUCGUGAUAAAUACAAGAUAAACUGUCUUGAAAUAAAUAUUUUCAUUUAUUUAAAAAAAAAUGGGGAGAGGAAAAAAUUUCAAAGAAUAAUAAAGAUAAAAAAGAAAAUGAAGACAGCAGCCUUGAAAAUGUUCAAAUUGGUCACAUCGUACGAUUUAUCCUAUAUAAACGCUAUCGCAGUUGUUAGUUUUUGCCAAUUAGUUUGAAGAUGGUGAUUAAAACGACACUUCAUACUUUGAGAUAACUGGAAAGAUAAAAAGAUUCCAGAAAUCGAAAGAUACUCCUAUCUUAGAAAAAUAAGAGAAAAGAAACUAUUGAUAUAUUUAACAUAAGAAUGAAUUCAUACGUAAGGUAUACGAUAUAUUCUACGUAAGAGUGUUACGAUUGCUGUGUCGAGCAUGUUCGAAAGUAUUUGCAUAAUGUAAAAAAAAAAAAAAAAAAAAAAAAAAAUUUAAAUUUUAACAAAUUAAUUGUUCUACUUAUGACCUGAAAUACACACAAUUGUUUACAACGAGCGAAGAUGAAUCAAUUUAAAUUCAUUCUUAUUAAGCAUCAAUUAAUGUUGUACGAUGACAUUUGUAGAAUGAACUAUGAUGUCGAUUGGAACUUUGAAAGAGAGCAUACUUUGUAUAUACAAGAAAUAUUUGUUCUUUUAAAUAAUUUUAUUAUUUAAAUUAGAGGGAGGGGAGAGAGAGAGAGAGAAAGAGAGAGAGAGAAUAGGUGUUCCUUUGCUCUUCCGUGAACGAUACGUUAUAAUACAAAAAAUAUCUUUUUAAGCUCAAAGACUAUACUAAUACUAUUCUAGCUAAUCGUUACUUACACGAUUCAUUAUUUGUCUAUAAAUUCGAGCUCUUCUCGUCAAACGAACUAUUAUAUCUUUAUUUCUAAACAAUACAAAGAUAACAUUCAUAAAUUAUAUAAUAUUCUUGAUACCUUUGAGAGAAGAAUAAAAUAUCGUCGUUCACGUUUAAUGCUAUUGUAAUUACCAAAUGAUAUAACUGAAGAUAAUAUCGAUUAGUUUACUUGUAUUUUAUAUAAGUAUCUCAUAAUCUAAUUUAUCAAGGUAUUAGAUGGCAAGAUAUUAUAUCAUUUGAUACGAAUUGUUUAUAAAAAAAAAAAAUUCGUAAACAACUAUUAUAACUUGAUAUAGCGUUUUGUAAAAUAUCCCAUGAAAAAUUCACAUUGUGCCUUCUAUUGAUAACGGUCACGUCAAUGGCCGUCGUUUAUUACGUCAUCAAGAUGACGCAACACAGUUUUGCCUAGCGAUGAGACUCUGCAAUGGAAAUGUUUUUGUCAACAUAUUGAAUGCAAUUGAUGUUAGUUCAUCAUACCCUCGGACUUUCCUUUAUGCUGUCGUAAAUAUUGUAUUACGCGAAAAACAUAAGUAUCGCUUGUCCUCAUUACUUCCGCUUACAAAGAAAUCAUCUUUUACUCUUCUUACAACUCUGUUAUAUAAUGCAGAUGUUUUAUAGUUUCUUAAAUUUAUAAUCGUCGUUAAUACUUUCUAAAAGUCACUGAUAUUUAUAAUGUUUAUAUUUCAUCCAUCAUUAUUCAUAUAUCUAAGAGAAAUUUCAUUGAAUAAAAGAAUUCGCAUUGAUAUUUUAAAAUUAUCGAAUUUAUUUUUUUUUUCUACAUAAAAUUAAAAUAGCAUCUUUAAUCUAGUUUAUAUAUGUAUAAUCAAGUAACAAUAUUGUCACAUCGUUGCUGAAAAUAUAUAUGUAUCUGUAUAUGUGGAUAUACAUAUGAUACAUAUGUAUAAUAAUCCUGAAAUAACACGCACAUAAAAAUACGUUCGACUAUCUAUAGUAUACUAUACAAUGAUGUUGUCUUUACAUUAAUACGAAGUCAUUAUAUUUUUAUUAUAAUUUGUUUUUACUACGUUUUUUGAGAAAGAAUUCAUUUAAGCCUUCAUUUUUGCGCUAUUGGUUUCAUCAACGGAAUUUGCCUUACUUUGUUGUUUGAUACGGUAAUCUGAUAAAGCAGCCUUGAUUGCAUCUUCUGCAAGCACUACAAAAUGUACAAUCGUAUAAUUAACUCGUAUUAUUUUGUAGAAUACUUAUGUUAUUUUUUAGAAGAAUAUUUUUGUUCUUUGCAGUAUUCAUUUUGAAAGUCUAUAAGAGAAUACGUUUACUUACUCGAACAGUGUAGCUUGACCGGUGGUAGGCAAAGUUCCUUUGCUAUGUCAGUAUUCUUUAAUUUCAAAGCUUCAUCGAUCUACAUGUAAAGUUAAAAUGAUUAGUAUAAUUACAUAUAAUAUUUUCUAAUUACAGAAAAUAAUACAAAUUCAGACAACAUACAGUUUUUCCUUUUACCCAUUCUGUAGCCAAAGAACUAGAAGCGAUAGCUGAACCACAUCCAAAGGUCUUAAAUUUAGCAUCAACGAUCUUUCCAUUUUCAUCUACUUUAAUCUGUAAUUUCAUAACAUCACCACAAGCUGGAGCACCUACAAGACCUGUGCCUACUCUGGUAUCAUUCUUAUCCAUUGAACCUACAUUUCUAGGAUUCUCAUAAUGAUCGAGCACCUGCAUACAAUCGAAUAAAACAGUUAUGAGUAACAAUUCUUAUUUUGAUAUUAACAUCGUUAAAAGUAAACACAUUUCAUUAAAUAAAUAUUUAUCAUAUUAAAAUAUACAUGAUAUAUGCUUACUGUAUAUGUGUAGAUUAUAUACACAUAUAUGUAUAUAUAAUAUAUAUGUACAUGUAUGUAUAUACAUGUUUGACCUUGAACUUUUGUUUUGAUUUAUACAAUAUAUAGAUUUAAGAAAUUCGUCACAAUAAACACUAAUGAAAUGAUUAACAGAACAACGUGAUUUUUAGUCAUCUCAGUUUACAAAUUUCAUAAAAAUUAUAUAUAAAUGAACAAUAUACGUGUAUGUCAUGACACAUAGAUUUAUCAUUCAAGUACAUAAAACUCAAAUAUAUAAGUUAAAACAAUGUGAUGUACUAAGAAAAGUUACAAUUAAAGAGAUAUUUACAUUGGGAUGAUAAGAUACAGCCGGAACGCUACGAGAAAGAGUUUUUGAAGCCCCAUUAAGGGCUUUGGGUAAAGAUUUUAACAACGACAUCAUGUCACUUUAUAAUCGAUGAAUUUUUACAUAAACGUCAACGCGAAAGACUGUUUCAAUUGCUUUCUAUUGCGCAAUUGAAUGAAAUCCCGGUAUGAUUGAUAUUAUAAAUAUAAUAGGUUAGAAAGUGUGUCAAACUAUGAUCUUAGCGCCGCCUGGUGAUAUAACAUUUGAAACGAUGAAUGCGGUAAAUUUGAAAAGUAAAUACUCUCGAUUGAUGCGUAGGAAAAAAUUGCUGUGUAACAACUACAAAUAUUGAUUAGAUGUUGCUAUCAAAUUGUAACUUUAAAAUAAUCAAGUACAGUGAAAUAAGUAAAUAAUAUUAAAUAAAUAAAUGAUAUUAAAUAUAUUUCAUUAAAUAAUACAAAAAUGAAUGAAAAUAUCGAGAUAUAAUGACACAAAUUCAACAGACUGUAUUCGAGUUUUUACAUAAGUCCAAAUAACCUACUAAAAAUAUAUAAUUUUAAACAUGUAUAACGAUUAAUACGAAUUAUUAAAAUGUAAUAUAUCAAUAAUUGUGUCCAUACAUUUAAGAGAUGCUUUUCUAAAGCUAUGAACUCUGAAUAUCAAUUUUGUAUUAAAGAAAAUGUCGACAAGGCAAACAUAAGAAAUGUAGAAGAUAAAAAGAAGCUCAACGAGUGCAAGAUUUAUACAAGUUGGCAACAUGAGUGGGUUUCGCCUAAACGAUUAAACCGUACUAAUCCAAUUAAAAUACGUGAGGUGGUACGUGGUCCAUUUUAUUCACCGAAAUUAUUAAAGAUCUCACCAUUCGUUAAUAUUUCUUCCGGUGAGGAUAGCUGCGAAGCGACAAGAUAUAAAAAGACUUAUGGAGGUAUUCCUGAUCCUUGGACGGAAUGUUUGGCGAUAAAAGGAUAUUGUAAUAACGAAAAAUAUGAUAAGAUAUUAAAAACUUCUUGCGUAUCGCGUUACAUGAGAUUUUGGAUAACAGAAACAGUUUGGAAAAAAAUGGGUUUACCUUUCAUACAGGGUAUUCCAGAUCCAGAUAAGGAUUUUUCUAAUAUUCUAAUAUCAAAGUGCCCAUCGAAACGACAAAAAAAUCUCAACUCUGAAACUUUAUCACGUUCGAAAUCUUUAUCAAAUUCUUUGGAAAGAAAUAUCACGGGAACAAAUUUUACUCCCUCUAAUAUAAUACCAUCUUCAAAUUUAAUUAAUACGAGUAAACAGAAAGCUAUAAAAAAUGCAAACUCUUCACCGAAGCAGCCCAAAGUGCUCGAUGAAGAAAUCCCUGAUACAGGAAAUCAUAAAAAUCAUUCUAGCAAGAAUUCAGUAGCGAGAAAAUUAGAUGGCGAUAAUUACGUGAAUUCCAAAUACGAAUUAUCAUCAUGUAAAUGCGACAAAAGAAACGAUAAUUUUAUCAAUAAAACCAAGGACACAAAGUCUAAUCAAGUAUACUUUCGCUCGUCUCUGAAUGUCGCUACGCAAACUUCCCUAGAUAGAUUUCAUCGGGUAUCAUGUCAACAUUCUUCUUUUCAGACAUUAUUGAAAAUUGCCAGAAAAGCUAUAUUGCCACGAAAAAUGUACAAGAUACUUAAAGAAAGAUGGACUCGUAAAAGAUGUCCACAUUCUUUGUUAGAACAUCAAAAUCAAUAUUUUUCGAGUCAUACUGCAUCAUGCCAUUGUAUACAAAUCAUGAAAAAAGAUCUUCCGAACAAAAUCACAAAAAAAAUAUCCGAUAAAUUGUCAACCAAUCAUAUCGUUAACAAUUACUGUCCACACUGCAAAGCGUAUAUUUUAAAAACGAAAACAUCUGGUUACCGUUGUCGCAAAUUGAAACUUGAUCGUUCUAGAAAAAAAAUACGAGAAAAUACAAGCCUUCCGUCGUACCAAUGUUUUCGAGAAAAAAUUCAAAAGCCUUUACGAGAAAAUGUUACGACCCAAACGGAAUUAAUGAUGCAACGAGUGAAUGGAAACGAAUUGAGACUAAUAUGUUCUCGUUGCAAUUAUCCUUAUUUCAAAGCAGAAAUGGGAAACGUAAUAAAUGCAUCGACGGAUCGUUUAGUCGGUCAUAAAAUUUCAAAGUUUGUUGGUAAUACGUACCACGAUGUGAAUCAUCAUUUUCAAUAUAAAUACGAUGAUGAAAAUAAAUCAAUGGUUGAUAAACCAAUGGUUGGUAAACCAAUCUUGAGAUUGAUUUCGAAACAAGACGAUUCGAAUUUGAAUGAUUUUAGGAAAUACGAAUACGUCAAAGAUAUGCAGAAGAACGAUCAAAAGAAAAUAACAAGAAAUACCAAGAAAACGAAAUCUGUGAUGGAGAGAAAUCAAAAAACUCAUGACAACGAUCAUACCAAAGAGAAAAUUUGUAACUUUUCCGUGGAAAGUCAAAAAUCUACUGUAUUGGAUACUGAUAUUUAUGCAAAUAUUUCUAAAGAAUCAAAAUACGGUAAUUGUACGAAAUCUACGUCGGUAACAUCAAAUACAUAUUCAGAUCAUCUUAACGAAGUUUUAACGACGUCGAAUAAAAAUAAAAUUAUCAACGUAAAUAAAUUUAAAACCAUUUCUACGGAUCAAAAUUUCUGUAAUAAAUUCCCAGUUUUGAUAUCAGAUUGCGAGAAAAAUACGUAUUCAAAGAUGGAUAAUAGAAAAAUAAAAGAUAAACAGGAAGAGAUAUUGAGCCAUCGGAAAGACCGCGAUGUCGUUUCUUCUACAGUUAAAAAUGAAUCUAACAAAAGGCAAAAAUCUAAGAAUUUAAUCAAUUAUACGAGAUCACCCGAAGAACGAUCUAAGACUGAAUCAAAGACAAAAUCUAAGAUAAAACCUGAACGUGAAUUUGCAGUAAAUUAUAAACCUAAAUCAAAUUCCAAGCUUAAGAUUAAAUCUAAAGUAAAAUCUGCACAUAAUAAAUCUAACCUCAAUGUGAACAAAAAAUACAAUGAUAACUUUUACUUUCGAGCUCGAUCUAAAUCUAAUAAAUCCAAAUCAAGAUCUAUAUCUAAAUCCAAAUCUGGAUCUAAGUCUAUAUCGAAAUCUAGAUCGAAGUCCACAUCGAAAUCCAGAUUUAAAUCCGAGUCCAAUUCUACAUCUAAAUACAUACAGGCGAGAUCUAAAGUACGUCCGUUUAAAAGUUUGAAAAAUCCAAAUGAUAUUCGAGAACGUGAAAAUCUACAUGAAAACGAACGUAAUUGUCUGACUGAAAGAUCGUAUAAUUGUUAUCGUGAAGAGUAUACGAAAUGUAAAGAUUGUAAUCCGAUUUCUAAUGUUUCGAUUAAUAUUGAACGAAAUAAAUUUAUGAAAUUAUCGCCUUUACGUGAGAAUUCUCAAGUGAUACGUCAAAAAGAAUUAUUUACUGAGAAUGAUUCGUGCGUUGAAAACGAUAAUAAUUUCAUUGAUGAUAUGAUAUCAUAUUCGCCAAUGAACGACGUCAACGUAAAAAAAAAGAUAAAUGAAAAUAUAGACAAUAAAGGCACCAGUACGACCGGAUUUAAUUUUGAACCCGGUCCGUGUAUAAAUCGAGAAACUUAUAACAAGAUAAUCGAUUCGAAUGACUCGAUAUAUUCAUCAAUGCAAAAUUUUUAUAAAAAUAAUGAAAAUAGAGAUCGAACAUUUCCUUUCAAGAAAAAUUGUUGGCUUAGUAAAAGCGAUAAUUGUAUGAAUUCGAAUAACAAACAGGAGGAACGAAAGAACGAUAUUUUGUACAGAAAUGGAAAUGAUUGUUAUUUAAAAUUUUGUAAUUCUCGAUAUUUCAGUAGCGUUCAAUCAUUGAGCGAUGACUCGAGCAAAGUGAUAUAUAAAGAAAAUUCAAUUAAAAAAUAAAACAAAAGAUCGAUAAAUGUUUUAUCUUUAUUGAGAAUUUAAUCUAACUUAAUUGUAAUUUUGACAUUAUUAUUAGUACGAGCUGACUUUUGUACUUGAAAAAAAAAAUAAAUAAAUAAAUAAAAUUGCGUUAAAAAGUAAACAUUUAUUGUAGAAAAAUAAUUUCAUAAAUUUUCUGAUAUAAAUUAUAAAAUUUAAAUGAAAAUACCAUAAUAUGACGGAUUUAUAUGCAAAUGAUAAAUUGUACAUUUUUAUAUAGUCGCAUUGUUAAUUUUUAUUUGAUAACGUGAACACAUUGUAACGGAAAUUUUGUAUAAAUACCAACAUCGUAUAAGAAAAAUCUGUUUUUAUACACGUCUUCCGUAUAUUUUUUUUGUAUCAUUACAUUGAAAGUAAAAAUCCAUAAAAUUGAUAGUCACUUGCAUAAAAAAUAAAAGAAGAAUAGAAAAGAAAAAAAAUACAAAAAUUAAAAUUUUUUUCUCAUCAUAUUAUAAACAGAAUUUUUUCAUAUUUUCUUAUUGCUUCUUAAUUCAGUCAAGCAUGAACGAGUAUCAUAACCACUCAAUAUGGUUUGGGAAUUUUAAAGGAGGGCGCCACUGUGCGCUGUGAAAAUAUAAAAAUCAAAAAUAAAUGUUUCAAAAAAUUAUUUUACGUAGUAAUAAAUAAAAAUAUUGCACAUUUAUAUCCGAAACGUAUUUUAAUAUUUACGUAAACGCGAUUAAAAUUCAUAAAGAAAAUUUUUUUACAUAUAAUCAUCUGAUAAGAAAUAAUUGAUCUAAGGUCGUUAAACAAAAAACGAAUUUUGUAUAUCGUAUACGUUCGAUUACAAUAGCAAUUUUAAUAAGAAAAAGAAUUGAAUUUUUUUGAAGUUGUUGAUGCGUAAAAUACGUUGUAAAGAUUAGCAAGAAAGAAGGAAAUAAACUUUGGAAUGGUUAAAUCAAAUAGUGCCAAAGCCAAUGUGUUAUACAAAGUUUACGUACU